Molecule: ribosomal RNA, 240 nt
Filed under: uncultured bacterium
Lineage: Bacteria
Description: partial 16S ribosomal RNA
Rfam family: Bacterial small subunit ribosomal RNA
Source: RNAcentral
GAUCAUGGCUCAGGAUGAACGCUAGCUACAGGCUUAACACAUGCAAGUCGAGGGGCAGCAUUUCGGUUGCUUGCAAACUGGAGAUGGCGACCGGCGCACGGGUGAGUAACACGUAUCCAACCUGCCGAUAACUCGGGGAUAGCCUUUCGAAAGAAAGAUUAAUACCCGAUGGUAUAAUCAGACCGCAUGGUCUUGUUAUUAAAGAAUUUCGGUUUAUGGAUGGGGAUGCGUUCCAUUAGG